ACUCUAUCUCUCGCUCAAUCUUCUAUACGUCGGCGCAGUCUCGAAUCUCUCCAUCGCCUCAGUGAUGGGGUUUGUCUUUGCUUUUCUUCGGUUGCUGGGGAAAAGGUUGACAGUAGGAAAGGUAAACGAGUCUGCUCUUAAACUGGAGCUGUAAAAAAAAUGAGCCUGAUCACAGUUCUUUCAAGCUUACAUGUCUGCAAACCCAUCAUGGAGGUUGGUACAUAGUUCUUCUAAAUCAAGUAU
This is a long non-coding RNA of Prunus avium (sweet cherry), 243 nucleotides long. RefSeq lists it as uncharacterized. Lineage: Eukaryota; Viridiplantae; Streptophyta; Magnoliopsida; Rosales; Rosaceae. The record is from RefSeq and is a predicted model, not a curated record.